GGCUCCAGCUGCUGCCGAAGGGGAUCCGGGGUAGGUUCCCGCGGCCCCCGGUGCCGACCGGGAGCGGGAAUGCGGCUGCGGCUCCGGUGGGAGCUGGUCCAUCCCCGUGGCUCUGCCCAUCCCUGGAUCCGCUCCUGCCACCCCCCCCCCUUCUCUUCCAGUCGUCCUUCCCGGGGAGGAGAAGAUGGACACGGACGUUCCCGAAAUGCCGGAGGAGGGUGACGCUGCACCGGCACCUGCCGGCCCCGAGCCUCUGCGGACAGUGACGCCAGGAGAAGUGUGCGAGGGAGGGCUCCGGGUGCUGGAAGGCUUGGCCGCCUCCGGCCUCCGCUCCAUCCGCUUCGCCCGGGAGGUGCCGGGGCUCCGGGCCGUGGUGGCCAACGACUUCUCGGCCCGGGCGGUGGAGCUCAUGGCCAGGAACGUGGCCUUCAACGGCGUCGGGCACCUGGUGGCUCCCAGCCUGGCCGACGCCAGGUGAGUCGCCGGCCGCCGCUCCGGCCGGCAGCGGCCUCCCGCAUCCUCCUUCCGGCAGCUGGAUGCUGGGAUUUAUCCCACCCCCUCUCCCGGCUUUGCCGCUUUUUGGGCUGCCUUGGGACACCCUGGUGGCCUCGCUCCAGCUUCCCCCCCGCGUACUGGGGGGGCCCAAACUGGUCCCAGUGUCCCCCCCCCGCCCCGGGGUCUCCCAGCGGCGGUCCGAGGGGAACGUCGCCUCCCCUCGCCCUGCUGCGGCCCGGGAUGGGGCUGGCGCCGGAGGGACCCCGCCAGUCCCUCCCAGUCCCUACUGGGGCAGGGUGGGGUUUGGCACUGGUUUUUGUGGGAUCUGAGAACUGGGGUGGCUCUUGGCCCCUGGUUUAGGGUCCCUGUUGCUCCGGGACCCCCUGUCCCCCCCCCUAGGGUGGCUCUGAGCCCCCCAGUUUGGGGUCCCCAUUGCUCCAGGACUCUCUGUCCCCCCCUGGGGUGGCUCUGAGCCCCCAGUUUGGGGUCCCCAUUGCUCCGGGACCUCCUGUCCCCCCCGGGGUGGCUCUGAGCCCCCCAGUUUGGGGUCCCCAUUGCUCUGGGAC
RNAcentral lists this long non-coding RNA (1061 nucleotides) under Apteryx haastii (Great spotted kiwi). RNAcentral's name for it is "lncRNA (ENSAHAG00000003412.1)". The record is from RNAcentral. Lineage: Eukaryota; Metazoa; Chordata; Aves; Apterygiformes; Apterygidae.